RNAcentral lists this long non-coding RNA (2204 nucleotides) under Salmo salar (Atlantic salmon). RNAcentral describes it as "lncRNA (ENSSSAG00000097976.1)". Lineage: Eukaryota; Metazoa; Chordata; Actinopteri; Salmoniformes; Salmonidae. The record is from RNAcentral.
AAGUGAUGAAAGCAUAGGUAUUUUCCCAAGACAAUCAGAAGCAAAGAUCAAUCAACGGAUUAAGCAAAGAACAAAGUACUCUACAGUGGCUUCCUCAUCAUUCAUCGGCACCGAUCUGAAAACAUACAGGUUGGUCCAACCCUUCCUCCUCCGCGGAGCCUCCACUGAUGUGCACGCCUAGGUUCUUGAAGCUUUUCACCCUCCAAUGCUGCCCUGUUAAUGUGGAUGGGGGCGUGCAAUCUCUGCUGUCUUCCGAAGUCCACAAUCAUCUCCUUUGUUUUGUUGAUGUUGAGGGAGAGGUUAUUUUCCUGGCACCGCUCUGCCAGGGCCCUCACCACCUCCCUGUAGACUGUCUCAUUUUUGAUGGUAGUCAGGCCUAACACUGUUGUGUCGUCUGCGAACUUGAUGAUUGGGUUGGAGACGUGCGUGUCCACGCAGUCAUGGGUGAACAGGGAGUACAGGAGGGGGCUGAGCACGCCCCCUUGUGGGUGGAAUGGUAUCAGAUACAUCAAACACAUGCCAUACCAUUUGCUCCUGUCCAGUCAUUGUUAUGAGCUGUCCUCCCCUCAGUAGCCUCCACUGACCUCUGCCUUUCUUUUUCCUGGAGAGUUAUUUUUUUCCUGUCCCCGCUUGCUGUAUGGACGGGGACAGUAUAUCUGGAAAGAGCCAUGAUUCUGUGAAACAGAUUAUGUUACAGUCCCUGAUGUCUCUCUGGAAGGAGACCAGGAGGGGUUACGAACAGAGAAUCCGAUUCAGGAAAGUCUCAUUUCUGGUCGAAAUGCUGGUGAGUGACUGCCGGUCUAAUAUCCAAAGGUUAUUUUCGGCUGUAAGAAAUAAUGCAAGAAACGUUCUGAGCAAAUAAUGUAAGAAAUAACACACAAAAUACUGCAAAGUUGGCUAGGAGCUAGAAAUAGGGAAACCAUGUCUGUCGGGGCCAUCUUGUACAUGAUCCAUUGGCUUGUUAACGUUUUUCAUCAUGAAUGUUGUUCGGGAGGCAGCUCUGCAGAGUGGUCACUAGCUGGCACAGCCACAAAGUCAUAAUAUCUGAUUUUAAACCCUAAACUUAACCACACUACUAACCCUAAAUUAAGAUUAAGAUAUUUCAUGAAUCAGGAGCUAUGAACAGGAGGACUGUGAGUUCAUUUCUGUGGGUGUUAAAAUUCGGAUCUCAAAUUUGCUGUGUAGAUGCCAGAUAUACAUAGUAUAUACUUUGACCAGCCAAGCUUUAUUAAAACUAAGGAAAGAAGGAUACAUCGUACAGUCCUAGAGCAUCUGGUUGUCGUGGUGGAGGCACAGGGUACUAAUUUCUCUUAAGUGGAGAUGAUGUUUAUUUAUUUUUUUAGGAAUAACAUAUACAUAUAAUUAGUACCUAUUCAUGGAAAUGUUCCAUACGCUGGAUAAUAAUGAAUGUAAAAUAAAUAAUUCACUGUCACUACCUCUCAGUCUUAAAUGAAGAACUGGAAGAAAAUGUAAGUUCCCUUAAAAAGUAUUUCUUCAUCAAAAACCAGUGUAUUUUUAAGAACCAUAUUUUUAUAAUAAAGACACUUUUUAUUGAAGUCCCAUAUUAACAGGUGCUGAACAUAUUUUGUUAAUGGCCGUAAAUGUAUGAGUGAUGUUUUUCCUCCUUCCCUUUCCCCUCCUGUCUUCCCAUCUCCUCUCUUCCUCCCCUCCUCUCCUGUACAGUAUUUGGGCAGUACAUAUGGCUAAGGGAGAGGACAUGCCCUAACAGAGCCCCAGGGACCACCAGGCCUUUGCAGUUCCAACAGUUCCCCCUCGCUCAAGCCAAGUCUCAGCCACUCAGCUCCCUCUCUCUCUGCUCGUUGGCCAAGUGUAAAAUGCUCCAGACCUCCAUGCCGGGUGUCUCUGCCAGCCUAGACAUGCCCAGCGAACAGCACCCAGGCUGUGGAUAAUUAAAUACAACCUCUCCCUGGGGACCUGGUGGGAGGAAUGUGGAUAGGCUGCAAAGCCCGGCUGACAUUUUAGCGAGCCAAUGUUACUGAUAUAAAUCUUGGCAGUUGUCAGAUUUUUUAAAAAGAGGGCUGUGGUGAAGCAAAGUUCCUUCUGUCAUGUCACUACACUGAACAUGGGGGAAAACAAGUAGAUUUGAAUUGACACAAUGCUUAGACCUGUAUUCACUUGAGUUAUUUCGUUUUUUUUCUUAAUGUCAAGGUUGCUAUCUAAUAAAUGAUGGAUGAUAUUUUUCA